Molecule: non-coding RNA, 112 nt
Filed under: unclassified sequences
Description: DUF3577 RNA
Rfam family: DUF3577 RNA
Source: RNAcentral
CGGAUCAUAAGGCAGCACGCUGCCGAAAUCGUCUGCAAUCCGGCCAGCAUCGCGCAAGCGGUGUGACGACUUUUUCAAAUUUUUCAAUUGCUGCCAAAGGGGCAGCACCUCA